This 6299-nucleotide long non-coding RNA is filed under the name Medicago truncatula (barrel medic). RNAcentral's name for it is "long non-coding RNA (MTRU_LNC003460)". Lineage: Eukaryota; Viridiplantae; Streptophyta; Magnoliopsida; Fabales; Fabaceae. The record is from RNAcentral.
AGGCAGUUCCAAACAAUUUGUCCACCCAUGGAAAAACCAAUGACAUAGAAUUUGGACCCCAAUCCCAAUUGAUCCGCAAGCUCUUCUAUAUCUAAGGCAAUGCUCUUUAACGUACGAUUUGGAUCGGGAUCACUUUCUCCAUAACCAGGUCUAUCAAAGGAUACAAUGUAGACCCCUAAUUCCUUAACAACAUCCUGGGCAAGCUCACAUUAAAUAUAUUAUUACAUACCAUGAAGAAAUAUGAGAAUGCACGUAUAUCAGACAGAAGAAAAUUAUAAUAUAGAAAAUUACGGGUGAUAGGGUGUUGGCAACCACAGCGUCAUGCCUGCAAGUGCUGAUACCAUGGACAAAGAUGAUUUUAUACUUUGCAACAUCUUUAGAAACACCAUGCUCUUUGUAUGCCAAAUGCCUUCCAUCUCUUAGUUUGAUUCUUGGUGCUGUUAUAGGUGGUCCAUCAGGAGAGCCGCAUACUUUGGGAGGAGGAGCUUGCGUAACUUGAUAAGCCCAUGCUAGAACCCCAAUAAACAACACUGCUAAUGUUGUUCUAAGAAUUCCUGAGUUUGUAAUUCCAAAUUAAAAGGAAGAUACAUACAAUUUAAAACAUAAAUUGUGGUUAGUGGUCCAUAAGUAAAUAUCAAAAUACAACUUAAUAAUUACAUUAUGCUGAACACAGGUAAAACUAGCUAUAAACCACAUAUUAAGGCCAACAGAGACUGAUUCAUGACUAAAAACAAUUGUUGGAUAUUUUGAAUGAAGAUUUAGUGUUGAAAGAUGUCCUAUAGUUAUCAGAGUAUUGUUUCUAUUACCUGUUUUACCUUCCAUGAGAAGAUUUUCCCAUUCAAAAGAUCCUUCUCCUUCACCCAGAGCCAAUGUUGGAACUAUCAUCCAACAUCAAUUCUUCCCCCACACUUCUUUCCAACCACCUGAACCUCUUCCCAGAUCUUCUCCCACUCCACUACUUUAUCCUAUCCAUCUUCCUAGCCAUCGAUUUCCGAAUACAAAUAGACACUCGCAUGGAACCCAUAAACCACCACCUCACCUUCAGGAUUACAUUUGUAAUUCCUCCUCCACCUCUAAUUGCACUCAUUCCAUUAAUGAAUACCUCUCUUGUCUCAAUCUUUCCUCUAGCCACAAGGAUUAUGCCCUUUCCCUCGAUGCUAUCCCUGAAUCCUCUAACUACUUUGAAGCUAGGAAGCACCCAUGUUGGGUUGAGGCUAAGAACAAAGAGUUAAAAGCCUUGGAAACUAAUUGUAAUUUGUCUAUUCUGGACAAACUUGUUGGUGUCAAUUGUAUCGGCUGUAAAUGGGUGUAUAAAGUCAAAAGGAAGACAGAAACUGAAGGGAUUGAUUUCUUUAAUACCUUUUCUCAGGUUGCUGAAAUGGCUACUGUGAGGAUGCUCAUUGCCUUUGCUAUCAUUAAAGGGCGGCACAUUAAACAAUGAAACAUGGAAAAUGCUUUCCUUGAUUGUGAGUUAAAGGAGGAUGGUAUGCCCCAAGUUUGAUGAACUCUUCCCCUCAUAGGGUUUGCAAGUUGCUUAAAUCAUUGUAUAGUCUAAUACAAGCGAGUAGAGAAUGGUAUAAACGCUUGUCCACCUUACAUUUGAGCUUAGCAUUCAAUAAAGCUCAUUAUGACCACUCGAUGCUCACCAACAUCAAAACUAUAGAACCCUCCUCCUUUAUGUGGACAACAUUGUCCAGGUUGAGGAUCAUCUUUCCGAGCUCUCCCAGAUCAAGAGUAUCAUUGACAACAACUUUGGCAUAAAAUAUUUUGGUAUCUGAAAAAAAUUUCUGGGCCUUGACGCUACUCACUCACCUAAAGGCAUUUCCCUUUGCCAAAUAUAACACUGUCUCAAUUUGCUUUCUGUCUUAGGCGUACUUGGCAGCAAACUGGUUUCAACUGCUACGGAACCUAGUUUUCAUUUGCACUACGAUGAUGGGACCCUUUUCAAUGACAUUGAUAUCGCAUUUACUUAACGACCACUGGGCCUGAUAUCACACACACUUUCUGUUCAGUUAUUCUCCCAAUUUCUAUCCAAGGCUAGUGUCUGUCAUUUCAAGGCUGCUGAAAGAGCACAUCACUACUAGAAAGGUUUACUGGUUCAGGGGAUUUUCUUCGGUGGGAAUUCUUCUCUAGAUCUUCACGGUUAUAGUAAUUCCAAUUGGGUAGGUUGUUCCGACUCACACCACACUAAAAAUAUUGCUACCUCUUUCCUAGGGGAUUCCUUGAUUACAUAUCAUUCUACAAAGCAGUCUAUUAUUGCUCGCUCAAGCUCUAAAUCUCAAUACCGUGCAAUAGCUUCAGUCAGUUACUCGCUUACUGACUUACAUAUUUCUUGUGUAAAGUUGUCCCUCUUAAUCUUAUAUAGUGAUAACAAAAGCGCCUUCCACAAUACUGCAAAACCAAGCAUCUUGAGAUUGAUUUCCGUGCGGCUAGAAUAUGAAUUAUGAAACUAUCCAUUGAAUUCACGAAGCUGCUAAUUUUGUCUCUUGCAAACCAAAUAUCCGAUCUUCACCAAAACACUUCUUCCUCGGCAUUUGUUCCAUCUCAUUUACAAGCUUCGAUUGAUAAACAUUUAUCAAUCUUCAACUUGUGGGGGUAUUACACAGUUAGCUAAUUAGUUAGUUAAAUUCCUAACUAACUGAACUAGUACAGUUAGAUUCCAGCAUGUAUAUAAACUUCAUUAUGUUGAAUUGAAUCAAUAUAUAUAUCAAAACAAAACCAUCUUCAUCAUUCUAUAUUCAUUCUAAUUUUCUUGUAACCUGAAUUAUAAAGCUGAAGAACAACACGACCCAUUAAACUUUGAAUGGUAAAAAUAAAAACUUUGAUGAAGAAAAGAGAAAAGAGAGUGAAAGAGCCAAGACCCACCUGAAGGAAGCUGAAAAGAAGUAGAUUUUUUGGCCCUUCUGGUGUGAGAACGAGCUGAUGCUGCAGAAAUUUUUCUGUUAACUCCGGUGGCCAUUGUUGUGAGAGAGGAGAAGAAUAACAGAAAAAAAUGAAACUACAGUUAAAAGAUUUUCUUCGAAAAAAAACAAAAAUGUUGAAAGAUUUAGACCCAUUUAUUAAGAUUUUGACAUCGAAUAAUUUUGAUCGUGGUAAAAAAUAUUAUUUUUUAAAUAAAUAAUUUAGUUUGUUUGAAUAUAUUUAUAUAAAAGAAAUUUUUGUCAAAAAGUAGUUCAAUCUUUUGACAUUUAAUUUUCUCUCUCUUUUAAAUUUUUUUUUUCUUUGAGAAAAUGUUUUUAAUAGCUUCUCAUUUGAAGUUCUUUUUAGAUUUCUUUUUUAAAUUGUAAUAAAUGCAUACAAUACUCUUAAAAGUGAUUAUUUUGAUUAAAAAAGUGAUUCUUUUUUUAAAAAACUAUAAAAAAAAAAAGCGGGCUCUUAUUUAUUUAUGUGAGAAUUAAAACAGAGACAGAAGAGCCGAUCGAUCUUCUUCUUUGUUUUUUUCUUCAAUUUUUGUUAUUAUUAUUAUUAUAUGAAUAUCUUGGGUCUUCAAUUUUGUAGGAUUACCGAUUAAGCGGAAAAAGAUGUUUUAUCAUCUCAUCUAAAUGAUAUUAGGUUUUUUUUUCUUCCAAUUGACAGUUCUUUAUUUUAUUUUUCAUGAAUAUUGACAAUUGUUUCUUUAUUUUAUUUGAAUCAAACAUAAACUAAUUAUAAUUAAAUUUUGAUACAAUAGUAAAAGUAAAAAAUAACAGCAAUAAAUAUAUUGUUUCAUCCGAAACUUCAAUCUAAGUUUUAUGGAGGUUGACAAUGAUCUUCAUUAAAAAAAAAAAAUAACACACCAAGACAUACGUGUCAGUGUCCUAUUACACCCUAGUUUAUUUAUCAUUGACCAACCUUUGUGUGUUUUUCCUUUAAUUUGAUAUUUUAUUUAAUUUUUAUUAUUUUCCUUUUUUAUCAAUAAAAUAGCUGAAUUUUCUAUAUAAAUAAGGUAGUAACUUUUUAUGUAACCAUGUUUAUUUCAACUUUAACUUUUAGUUAAAUAAUUGUAUGUAUAAUUUUGCUCUUUAAGUUGGCAAUUUGUCUUCUUGGUGGCGCAUUUGCAGCUUUGGAUAUGGAGAAACAAAUUGCAACUACGAGCAAUGAGUCGUCCAAUGUAAUUCUUAGGAUGGUCAAGGAGAUCGAGCACUAUGAGCAUACUCUUUUGACGGGAAGGCCGAGGCAGCAGGAGACCAUUUACAUCAGCUUGAAGCAUCCUCACGGGAAAAGGCGAGGAUAAUAUCUAAUUGCUGACGAUGACUAUAUACAUCUCAAAAACAACAUCCCAACUUCUGUAAAUUUUAAAACAAAAGAACAACAUACAUAUUUAACUAUCAAGAAAUAACUAGAUUCAUCCUACAUUCAAGUUGCUCAAAGUUUAUCAUAUGUGUUGUGUGUGAUCUUCAGUUUGAAUUCUCCGAAACGGAGAUAAUAAAUGCCCAAGCUGGCUGGAUAGCCGGUGAUCAAUACAGAAGCCUACUUCACACCUAAAAGUAACUUAAUGAUAGUCUCACUCACACCAUCGGCAUGAGGGAAAAGGUGGCCAGAACCUGAAAGUUCAUGGUAGUGAACCCACGGAAGGUUUUGUGCGAUGUAUCGUUGUAGUGUGACAGGAACCAUAAUAUCUUCAUCUCCUUGCCAAAGAUGAACAGAACCUUCAUUGUUUGGAAAUGGAUUUUGAAGAUCCAAAGGAGUAUAUUCCCAUUUUCCAAAUCCAAUAUUUAUGUCACGGUGGAGGCUUUCAUAUUCACCUUGUUGUCGUACCUGCUCCUGAAACCACAUAAAAAUUUAUAAAUUUACAAUGAGAAUUGAGACGAGAAAUAUUCCAAUUGAAACAAGACAUUAUUAUAUAUCAUGAGAGACAACAAUACAGAGCAUAAAGCAACAAUACAGAGUAUACAAUUCCGAAAGACAACAAUACAGAGCAUAAAGCAUGAUUACAAAUAAAACUCUUGAACCUAGGAAAUCAAGAAUAAUAAGGACAAACAACUUAAUUGAGCGCUUAUAGCAUAAACGCUUAUUAAGUACUUAUGUAUAAACUAUUUCUAUAAGAAAAGGUAAAAUAAAGUCAAAUUAUUUUCAUAGUCAUAAUCUGUAUUCAUAAAUUAUCCUGGAGAGCUUAUGGAAAUAAUCUGAAAACAGCUUAUGGACAUGUCAUAAGCUGUUUCCGUAAACAGUCUCACAAGUGCUUAUGUUAUGUCAAUAGAAAAACUCAAAUAAGUCAAUCCAAACAGGUCCUAAGCAGUAAAAGUUGUUCAUUGCAGGCAGCUUUAAACAGUUAAAAAUAAACACAUGUAUCACGGCCAAACUCCAAUAGAAUAUAACUGAAUUUGUGCAGCUAAUGUGAGUCCUGAUAUUCACAUAUACAAUCACGGCCAAAAUUCAAAAUCAAUUUAACAAUUCAACCAAUCAAAACUAUCAGCUAAAUCACUUUGCUUCUAGAAAAACAAAUUCAAUUUUGCGAUCAUCUAAAAGCUUGAUACUUACCACAUAAUUCUCUUUAUUAUCCAUGAACUUAGUUACAAGCUCUUUGUCUUGUUUCGAAAGGAUAUCUGGACUACCAGAAAUCACACUAAUAAUUGGGAACCAUCUUUGAGUGUUCCACCAGUAUGUUAGCCAUGGCGUGUAGUGAGCAACACGAAGCGCCCAUUGGUCAUGUAAUUUCCAUUGGGAAUAGGCUUCGGCCGUUAAGUUUGCAGGAAGAUCAGGCCACCAGAAGUUGACGACUGGGGCUAAGAGCGCUGCACCUACCAGCCUGUCAGUAUUGAAAAAGUUUGUGUCAAUAGAAGAAAACUACAAAUAAACUAAAUAAGGUAUCAUAUAAAAAUAAAAUAAAAAGUCAAAUUGUUUUGAACUUUUGAUAUAAGCUAUCUUGGAGAGCUUACGAAAAAUAUGUUGAAAACAACUUAUGCACAUGUCAUAAGUUGUUUCAAUAAACUCUCCACAGUCUCAUAAGUUUUUAUGCCAGCAGUAAAUAAACUCUAGUAAGUCAAUUUAAACAAACUCUAAAUCAUACCUGUGAGGUAUGUGCUUAAGGCAGUUCCAAACAAUUUGCCCACCCAGGGAAGUACCAAUGACAUAGAAUUUGGACCCCAAUUCCAAUUGAUCAGCAAGCUCUUCUAUAUCUAAGGCAAUGCUCUUUAACGUACGAUUUGGAUCGGGAUCACUUUCUCCAUAACCAGGUCUAUCAAAGGAUACAAUGUAGACCCCUAAUUCCUUGACAAAAUCCUGCACAAAAGCUCACAUUAAAUAUAUUAUUAUAUAUCAUGAAGAAAUAUGAGAAUGCACGUAUAUCAGACAGAAAAAUUUGUAAUAUAGAAAAUUAC